AGAGUUUGAUCCUGGCUCAGAACGAACGCUGGCGGCAGGCCUAACACAUGCAAGUCGAGCGAAGCCUUCGGGUUUAGCGGCGGACGGGUGAGUAACGCGUGGGAAUAUGCCCUUCUCUACGGAAUAGCCCUGGGAAACUGGGAGUAAUACCGUAUACGCCCUACGGGGGAAAGAUUUAUCGGAGAAGGAUUAGCCCGCGUUGGAUUAGGUAGUUGGUGGGGUAAUGGCCUACCAAGCCUACGAUCCAUAGCUGGUUUGAGAGGAUGAUCAGCCACACUGGGACUGAGACACGGCCCAGACUCCUACGGGAGGCAGCAGUGGGGAAUCUUAGACAAUGGGGGCAACCCUGAUCUAGCCAUGCCGCGU
This 366-nucleotide ribosomal RNA is filed under the name Paracoccus sp. R-27047. RNAcentral's name for it is "bacterial SSU rRNA". It matches the Rfam family "Bacterial small subunit ribosomal RNA", at positions 8 to 402 of the family's 1533-position model. Lineage: Bacteria; Pseudomonadati; Pseudomonadota; Alphaproteobacteria; Rhodobacterales; Paracoccaceae. The record is from RNAcentral.